This 324-nucleotide ribosomal RNA is filed under the name uncultured bacterium. RNAcentral's name for it is "bacterial SSU rRNA". It matches the Rfam family "Bacterial small subunit ribosomal RNA", at positions 28 to 334 of the family's 1533-position model. The record is from RNAcentral.
GACGAACGCUGGCGGCGUGCUUAACACAUGCAAGUCGAACGGGGCUGCUAUGAUGGAGUUUUCGGACAACUGAUUAGUAUGCCUAGUGGCGGACGGGUGAGUAACGCGUGAGUAACCUGCCUUUCAGAGGGGGACAACAGCUGGAAACGGCUGCUAAUACCGCAUAAUAUAUACAGGUCGCAUGACUUGUAUAUCAAAGAUUUAUCGCUGAGAGAUGGGCUCGCGGCCGAUUAGGUAGUUGGUGAGAUAACAGCCCACCAAGCCGACGAUCGGUAGCCGGACUGAGAGGUUGAUCGGCCACAUUGGGACUGAGACACGGCCCAG